UACGUAGGCCGCGAGCGUUGUUCGGAAUUAUUGGGCGUAAAGAGUGUGUAGGCGGUGCUCUAAGUCUGUCGUGAAAUCUUCCGGCUUAACUGGGAGGGGGCGGCGGAAACUGGAAUGCUAGAGGGUGGGAGAGGAAAGCGGAAUUCCUGGUGUAGCGGUGAAAUGCGUAGAUAUCAGGAGGAACACCUGCGGUGUAGACAGCCUGCUGGACCACUUCUGACGCUGAGACACGAAAGCGUGGGUAGCAAACAGG
This 253-nucleotide ribosomal RNA is filed under the name uncultured bacterium. RNAcentral describes it as "partial 16S ribosomal RNA". It matches the Rfam family "Bacterial small subunit ribosomal RNA", at positions 524 to 776 of the family's 1533-position model. The record is from RNAcentral.